AAUCUCCUUUUCUACAAGCUUCUGCCUGUAACUUGUCAUCACUGCUGGAGUGUGUCAGGAUAGUGUCCUAGGGCCAACAUCUUCAUUCAGCUGCUUCAUCAAUUACUUGCCCUGAGAUACUGAAGCAAUCAGCAAGACCUGAACAACAUCCAGUGUUGGACUAAUAGCGCCCAAGGCAGGUCCUGUCAGUGCAGUGAUCACAGAGAGAGUUGAUGCGUCUGCGUCUGGGACUUGGUGAAGCGAAUACAUAUCCUGAACAUAUAACGCUGAUGCCUUUUGACAGACGGCUCAACAGCUCAAUGACAUCACCGAGUGCAAGAAGCGUGGUAUAAAAAGCUCUUUACAGCUAGUCAUCAUAAGCAUCCAGUCAGAUCGGAGGCUGUGCUACACUCUACUCCAUCAGGCAGGACCAGUCAUCUUACUGGGAUGUAACUGCACUGCCAAUAGCGUGGAGUCUUCCUCUCAUACUAGGAAUAUUUGAAUUGCACGCUGCUUUUGUUAUAACCAAGUGCCAUUCUUAUGUUGCCUUCGGACAUGAUACUUCGACUGAACAGAUUAACUCCCAAUUAUUUCCGGCUAUUACAGAUGCAACUUGCGGGUGAGGCCACAGUUCAGAGUACUGACCGACUCAUUAACUUCUCUGCACUGCUCCUUGCUGUAGGAGGUAUCGGUUUAUCCUCCUUUGGCACCAGAAGAAUGACUGAAGCAGCUGAAACCAUGGCAAUGUUUGGAACAGAAGCAUCAGAGCAGAGGAAUGAACUGCCCCAAAGUGAAUAAUGGACAAAUAGGAAAUGGAAACCCCAUGAACCAGACUAAGUGUGUGAUUCCAUGUGGCUUCUUUCCAGACUCUCAUCUGGAAAAUCAGAAUAUGAUUCCCAAAAUAUAAAGUGGUCCCCUCUCUGCAUUCUAUCUGAAUAGACAAGCUACAUUAAGAGGAGUUAAAAUGAAUGGUUAAUGUAACGAUGCUUCCCCUCCUUCUGAAGGGAGUCAAUGGGAUAGUGAAAAUUUUUGCUACUGCUUCAAACAAUCAGUUUGUGUAUUACUAUUUUUUUUCAGAGAGAAUGUUGACUGAAGUUCAGUACAAGGUUUUAACAUAGUCAAGCAGCAAUCAAGUUACACAUGGAAUAUCUUAGCAAAGUUUAUACAGAUAGCAAAUAUGAUCAUUGCAAGUUUAAGUAUUCAGAGUCAAGCGUCACCCAAGCUCAUGUGGCCUGUAUACUCCAUCAGUUGUAAUACCAGAUCUUUUUAUCUCUGUGAUCCACCUGAUUGCUGGGUUCAAGCUCUGGGUUGCUGGGAAAGGAGGGUUUGUAGUUUGAACUCAUCUCUGUAAAGCACCAUAUCCCCAAUCAGCAUAUUUUCAAUAUUUAGGAAUAGCUUAGAAAUUAAAGGUUGAUGUGUUGUAUCAUUGGUGUUGCUGGCCCUUCUGGAACAUUUCGUGUCUCCAAGAUUUAAAGGUAGUCUCCUGGAUUCUGUGGUGGAUAAAUUUGGUGAUAAUCUGAGGGGUAUUAAUUUUCUUUGAACAUCUCUUUAUUGGGUACAAGAAUUCCGAGAUGGAGGAAAUGAUAUUUGUUUGGAUGGGGCACUUGGAGGAGGGAGAUCAUGUGGUGAAACCUCCAGGUACAUAUCCACUCAGAGGUGGCAACCCUAAUCAUCAGACAAACUGAACUAUUUAAAACUAGCUGUCAGACUAGGUCAGAAUGAAAAAUCCUGUCAAAUGGCCCUAUGACAAAUAAAUGUGCCCUGGCUUAUGUCAUAAUGUAUUUUGUAUUUGUUUGCCUUACAUUUGGGAAAGACUGCAAGCAGUUUAUUUAAGGAUCCUGUAACAAAUGUGUAAUUAAUAGAUAGUAUAUGUAUAAUUAAUAGAUAAUAAGCACAGCAUCCCAAGGAGCUGCUGUAACAUUAACUGUGUAUGUCUGCAAAAUUGGAAGUUGUGACUGCUGUAGCCCUAAUCUCUGCCAGUGAGUGGUGCUAGUGAGCACAUACAUCAGUGACCCCUAUUGACGAAUUGAGGGAGUUCACUAGUGUCCCUUCCUGACAGAUCGGGGUUGGAGGCAAUGGGACGGACAAUAUGAGCUUUUUUCUUGUCUGGGUUAAAUUUCAUUUAAGAAUUGCUCUCAGUUGUGAGGCAAAUACAUUUUCUCUCAACCUUGCUAUGCAAAUAAGCUUUUUAACAUGGUGCUUUUAUAUCAGAAUGAAAUGCCUCAAUACUCGACUAAAAUUGGCUUGUGCCUGGAAUUUUGGGAUGAAAUAAGUAAUUCAAUCAUUUAAUUACCUCCCAGCUCAUUCAACUGCAUUGCUCCAGGCUAUCCAAGUCUGAAGAUGCACAGAAAAUCAGUCUUGUUAAUGCCAGAAUUUUCACACUUCAAUUGAAGAAUGAACAUAACAAAUCUGAACUCAUUAAAUUAAUUGACACUGGGAUUAGGAGUUUUUGUAAAUACCAUAAGCCACACCCGAUACCUCAUAGUCACUGUUGUGUUAUUUAUUUGCUUUGACGGGUUCUCAGGGUCAAUAUCUACAUGAACUCAUGGGCAACUGUUUGGAAAACUGCCAACAACACUAAAAUGCAAGUUACAUAACAGCUGAUGUUAUUGCCAUUAUAGAUUUGUAUUUAUACCAGUACAGGCCUGUGGCUCAAGAGCUGCCCUACAUACGCUUCAGAGAACAUUGUAUUUCAAACCAACCAAAACAGAUGUGACAAUCGGAAUGUCCCUAAGGCAGAAUGCUUAUCAAACAUGCUGCACUUCACUCAACAGGACUGGAGUUCAGGUUUUCUCAGUUGGGGCUCACGUGCAAAUCUGAAUGCUGCUUCCCUAGGUUAGGAACUCCGACUUAUUGUCUGUAUUACCAAUAAAUUUCUCACCACCUCGGAAAAACUGGGCUGCUGAAACAGAAAUUGUGUCUGUAUUGUUUCAG
Rhincodon typus (whale shark) is the source of this 2913-nucleotide long non-coding RNA. RefSeq lists it as uncharacterized. The record is from RefSeq and is a predicted model, not a curated record. The transcript is spliced from 3 exons. NCBI's taxonomy places the organism in Eukaryota, Metazoa, Chordata, Chondrichthyes, Orectolobiformes, Rhincodontidae.